This 449-nucleotide ribosomal RNA is filed under the name uncultured bacterium. RNAcentral's name for it is "partial 16S ribosomal RNA". It matches the Rfam family "Bacterial small subunit ribosomal RNA", at positions 29 to 523 of the family's 1533-position model. The record is from RNAcentral.
AACGAACGCUGGCGGCAUGCCUAACACAUGCAAGUCGAACGAGAUCUUCGGGUCUAGUGGCGCACGGGUGCGUAACGCGUGGGAAUCUGCCCUUUGGUUCGGAAUAACAGUUGGAAACGACUGCUAAUACCGGAUGGUGACGAAAGUCCAAAGAUUUAUCGCCAGAGGAUGAGCCCGCGUAGGAUUAGCUAGUUGGUGUGGUAAAGGCGCACCAAGGCGACGAUCCUUAGCUGGUCUGAGAGGAUGAUCAGCCACACUGGGACUGAGCCACGGCCCAGACUCCUACGGGAGGCAGCAGUGGGGAAUAUUGGACAAUGGGCGAAAGCCUGAUCCAGCAAUGCCGCGUGAGUGAUGAAGGCCUUAGGGUUGUAAAGCUCUUUUACCCGGGAUGGUAAUGACAGUACCGGGAGAGUAAGCUCCGGCUAACUCCGUGCCAGCCGCCGCAGUAA